Molecule: transfer RNA, 57 nt
Filed under: Philine kinglipini
Lineage: Eukaryota; Metazoa; Mollusca; Gastropoda; Cephalaspidea; Philinidae
Description: tRNA-Leu
Source: RNAcentral
AAGGUGGCAGAUCUAAUGCCUAGGUUUUAAGAACCUAUCAUACUAUUUAAGGUCCUU